Molecule: long non-coding RNA, 2396 nt
Organism: Esox lucius (northern pike)
Lineage: Eukaryota; Metazoa; Chordata; Actinopteri; Esociformes; Esocidae
Source: Ensembl
GAACAUCAGGGGGUUGGAGACAGAAGGUUUCUUCCUGCAGAAGGUUUCUUCCUGCAUGUUAAUUGUUGGGUUUAAAUCCUGUCUCUCUAAAUAAGACAGGUGAAAAGUCAGAGUGAGUGUGAGUGAGUGUGAGACAGAAGGCUGUCUUGACGUAUUCCUCACAGAGACAAGGUGUGAGAAUUACAACAGCAUGGAGUUUUAAACCUUGAUGGUUAUUGUAUUCAAUCAUAUUUUCCUAACAUGACUGCAGCAUACAAUUUAAUAAAACAAAAACAUAGAAGUACAUGAUUAUUAAAUCAGCAUUAUUUAAACAUUUAUCUCAACAAAAGCUACCCCCUUCCCUUCCAUGACUUCCUAAAUAGGCGCAUUGUUCUUUCGGAAUUCUGAACUGACGAACAGAAAACGAUUUAGAGACGAUUUACGUGUUUUUUUUUACCCUGUAAUCCGACUCCACUUGGAACCGUUGGUACCCAAAUGGUACCCAGGCUCUAAUGACCCUCACUGAAUGCAUGACGUCAAUGGAUGAAUGUGUGAUGAUCCCAGACAGGGGCGCGGAAUGGGGGGGGCAGAGGUAAGACGUAUAAAUAUAUUAGAACAUUAGGUAUAAUGACAUUCUGUCAUAAUUAGCUAAAGUUGAUAGUAUUUCUUUGUUACUGAAGAAAGUUUGUAAUAUAGCUUGACUAAUUGUUCCAACUCUGCCAUGUCCACUAUCAGGUAGGCUAUGCAAUGCACACUGAUCGAAUGCGUUAUUCUCUGCAUAUAAUUUCGAUUUUUAUUCUCGAAAUAUAACAAUUUUUUUCUCGAAACACAACAAAUUUAUUCUCGAUAUUUAAUGAGUUUAUUCUCAAGAUUGUAUUUCGACUUUUUUUCUCGAAAUCUAACGAAUUUAAUCUUGCAUUAUAAUGACUUUAUUUUUUUUAUUACUGCUUGGCACUAAUCCUCUUCUGUAGGAAGGUGGGUGGAGGAAAUGUACCUGUUAUCUUGGUCCAUUGUGAAAUAGGCUACUUUGGCACCCCUAACGUUAGUUACUUAAUAUCUUCAAAGACAAUUCUGAGUGUUUACAUUUCGUUCCUCUUUUAGCUGACAUUUAAUCAAUGUAGGCAAACUUUUUGCAAACUAUUGAUACUAAAUCUGUUGUUCCUGCCCCUGCCUGGUGCCAGGCCCAACAGAUGCAACUUCAGGCUCAUCAGCCCUGUCUGUCCAUCCUCAUAACCCUCAACCUGCCCUACUCCCAACUGAAAGAGGUCCUUGAGGGAGAUGUGAGGGACAAAAUCCGUUGGGGAGCAGGAACAACCUGAGAACAUGGAUCUGUUUGCACAAAAGAAAUAAAAACAAAAUAAGAAUGGUGAACUGAGCAAUUCUUGUUGCAAGAAUUGUCCAUUUGAGAGUUGUGUGUGUAUGUGGGGAGGGGUUAUAGAUUUUAUCCAGUUGAGUGUUGUGUGUGUGUAUUUGGGGAGGGGUUAUAGAUUUGUCCAGUUAAUGGUUGUGUGUGUAUGUGGGGAGGGGUUAUAGAUCUGUCCAGUUCAGGGUUGUGUAUGUAUGUGGAGAGGUUAUAGAUUUGUCCAGUUGAGGAUUGAGUGUAUAUUUGGGUAGCAGUCUAUAGUCAGUUUGACUCCGAGGGCAUGUUCAUGAAGCCUACUGCUUUUUGGUCCUGAUAGACCUCAACCUUCUAUUACCAGAGGGGAGAGUUCUGAAUAUUCCAUUUCCAGGGUGAGAGGGAUCAGCCCCAAUCUUUGUCACUCAUAUAUUUCCUGGAGGUGUGUAGGUCUUGUAAAGAUGGUAGAUUGCAGCCAGGCACCCUCUCUGCAGAGCGGAUGAUGCACUGCAGCCUGCCUUGUCUUUGACAUUGGCUGCAGCGUACCAGACGGUGAUGGAGGAGGUCAGGAUGGACUCUAUGAUGGCAGUGUAGAAGUGCACCAUCAUAGCCGUUGGCAGGUUGAACUUUUUUAGCUGUCACAGGAAGUACAUCCUCUGCUGAGCUUUCCUUUGUAAGCAAAGUGAUGUUCACCUCCCAAUUGAGGUCCUGGGCGAUGGUGGUACCCAGAAAGCGAAAGGACUCCACAGAGUUGGCUGGGGAGUCACCCAAGGUGAUGGGGGAAAUGGUAGCUGGGCUUCUCCACUGUCUUUAAGGUGUUGAGCUCCAGGUUGUUUUGACUGCACCAGGACAGAUGGUCUAUCUCCCACCUCUAGACAGACUUGUCUCCAUCAUAAAUAAGUCUGAUGAGGGUGGUAUCAUCUGCAAACCUCAGGAGCUUGACAGAGAGUGUGGAGGUGCAGCUGUUGGUGUUCAGGGAGAAGAGUAGGGGAGACAGGACACAGCCUUGAGGGGAGCCAGAGUUGGUGGUCAGGGGGUCAGACAUGUGCUUCCCCAGCCUCAAGUGCUGCCUCCUGUUGGA